CUGAAAUAUUUCUGAAGCACGGAAGGACGCACCAAUUAUCAAGGCACCGUAGGAUGUCUGAUCAUUUUGACAGCCACUGGGAGAUUUGUGACGCCACAAUUAGACCUGGUCAGUGUUUUAAUCACGUGCUGCGGCAGAUGCAGCCACGAGAAGGGUGAUCCAGUUUUUGGAGUCAGCUGGGAUCGGCGUCUUGAUCAUCAGAUGCAGUAAAAGGUUGGAGGGCCGUGAGCACGUUUGUUCCUGGUGCAUAUGUGCUGACAUGAGUAAGUGGAGGCGAAACAUCCGUAAAACAGAGGAGAGCAGAGGGCUGAUAUUUGGGAAUUUGGGUCAAUGCACUGAAAGUUCCCCUGAAUUAGGAGCAGCUUAACAUGGGGAGUAACUGUGGGAGCUUGCUGAAAGGAGAAGAGUCAUGGUGAGAGGGAAGAGUGUCUGAUCGUUCAUCUGAGGGGACACCCAGGUACAACUUGGGUCUGGGACCUACUCCCUCAAGACUAGCACGUUUCGAAGUUUGGGAUUCAGAGACAACAGAGCUAGGUUUACACUCUAGCUCUUCAUUUUGUAGCAUGGAAUUUUGGGGUAUCACUAAAGCUUUCUGAGCGCAGGUCACCUCACUUGUCAAAGGGGUAACACCUCCGGAAACCUCAGGGAAAUAUUAUAUGAGCCAAUACGUGUAUUUCCCACUCACUGGGUUUCAAUUCGUACUACCAGAAAUGGUUUCGCUAUUCAGGAGCUCGGGAUCAAAAGGUUGUAACCCACCCCUGUUCCUGACACACUGCAGUAUUCAUCCAUGCCGAAUUUAGAAUUAUUAACGUUGAUGUGGGUAGCACUUUGGAGGUGACAAAUGCUUUAAUACACAUAAAUUGUGAGAAGAAGGUAUAAUCCUGGUGAUGUUAAUUACAAAGACAGAUCUCCAGAUACCAUUUCACUCAGAUAUGUGAAUAUUACUGAACGCAAACACAGGUUCAUUACCUGUUACACUGAAAGGCCCAAAACUGGAAAUGCCAGGCUUGUGGCAAGGAAAGAGGUUUAUUAUCAAAAGGCAAGCAGACUAGGAGAUGGGAGAUAGAACUCAUAUCCACCUCCUCGAAGGGAAGAAGAUAGGGGUUUUCAUCUGGGGUUUUAGACAGAGGAGGCAGCUUGUGCUGGGCUUUUAGGCAGGGGAGGGGGAGCAUGUUGCCUUGCCGGUUGGUUCCUUCCCGUCAGCCUGCACUUGGCCUUGAAGGCUGAGAUUUUUUUCCUUUGACUCUCCGGACUUUUCUGGUUAGUUUUCAUCUUCAGCCUGCUUUUGGCCUUGUGAGGCUGAAUCUUGAUGUCUGGACCUUUAUUUCCUGGGAAAGACAACUCGCUCAUAUACUAGGGAGGGUCAGAAAGAUCUGGUUAGUUUUGAACAGCAGUUGAUUAUGCUGAGUAUGCACAGUUGCAGUUAGCAAAGAUUAUCUCAAAGGUUUUUUUCUCUACUUCUAGUCCAGGAAAGAUUUUUUAACCUCUUCAUCCUCAGUUUCAGGAAGAAGUCAACUAAAUUACUCCCCAAAUUAAAUUCCUGCACUCUGCAUUUGCUGAGCCUAUCUGCCCUGUUGGGAUCGUGGCACACACCAGUAGACUUAUGACGUGUGUCCUCCUGCUUCUUUCCUGUGUGAGGGCUCUUUAGUCCCUGAUAUGCACAAUGAGAGUCAAUGAACCUUCUCACACGAUUUUUCAGACUGUCCCUGGAUGAGGACACAGAGGGAGACAGGUGGGGCUGAGCUCCUGACACCGACACACAGUGCUUAGGGGACUGCUGGAGGGCCAGAUGGUGAAUGGGAAGUUCCUUUUGAUGGCGAAAGUACACAACUUUAUUUCACGUGGAGACAAAGGUUGGGGUUACAAGCUGAACAGGUGAAAUCCAGUCACAUUCGUCUCUCCAUCUGACGUUGGGAAUGGAUCCACAGAAUGGAGAUGAUGGUUUCACCCAAGUAUUUUCGCAAUUAGGAGCUCCUUUAUGAAAUAAAUGCAUAUCUAGCCAGGAAAAUAGUCCAUUUUUAUUCUGGUCUCACGGAUAUGUCUAGAAGAAAUUAAUAGUAAAAUGGUGUGUUCAUACAUUGUUGUAGACUUUCAAAAUACAUUUUUAAAAGAACAAUUUAAUGAAACACAUUUAUAGCACUUUUUCCAUUCUUGAAACUUCCAAAAGUGACUUUUUUCAGAUUGAAAACAAAAACGAAUUUGCCUCAACUUUUGUUAUAUUGUUACUAAUGAGAUCAGAGUGAAAAUUACGUCUUAAAAACAUAGUAAUAAUAUCUUAAACAUAAUAAUAAUCUUGAACAUAAUAAAGAUAAUAUUAAACAGUUGUCUUAAAUUUACCAAAUAAAUAGUUGUGCUAUUAUAAGAGAA
This is a non-coding RNA of Equus caballus (horse), 2367 nucleotides long. The record is from RefSeq and is a predicted model, not a curated record. Lineage: Eukaryota; Metazoa; Chordata; Mammalia; Perissodactyla; Equidae.